AGAACCUUUCCGGCAAUGCAGAUUCCAUAUCCAAAAUGCUCGGAAGGAACCUUCGAUAUCCAAUCCCACAUGGAACCUGCCCUAAGAGCGGUUUUCGAGACAAAAACUGGUCAUUCUGUGGAUCCGAGAUAGAACUCCGGUCCUGCAACUCCUUCCCUUGAUAGCCUUGAGUUGUUGGUUACACCGCACCGGAAAAGCACUCUCUGGGAAAUCCGGAUCUUUCUCAGCAGGGAC
This 234-nucleotide long non-coding RNA is filed under the name Nicotiana benthamiana. Its description in RNAcentral is "long non-coding RNA (NBEN_LNC035016)". Lineage: Eukaryota; Viridiplantae; Streptophyta; Magnoliopsida; Solanales; Solanaceae. The record is from RNAcentral.